Molecule: long non-coding RNA, 702 nt
Organism: Suricata suricatta (meerkat)
Lineage: Eukaryota; Metazoa; Chordata; Mammalia; Carnivora; Herpestidae
Exons: 5
Source: RefSeq, a predicted model, not a curated record
UUACCUGCUUGUGAAAUGCAGUUGGAGUAGACAUACUUAGCAGCUGAAAUCUAAAAUGGGUAAAUUUCAAGUCUCCACUGAGAAAUUUCCAGCCAGUAUCCAGUAUCACAAAACUUGAAGCAGCCUGGAUUGCAGUGCUUCUGGGAAGGGUCAUUCUGGGACCGCCUCGCCUACCGGGGCAGCUCGAUGGAAGCUUGGUACUGAACUGCUACUCACAGAGCACAGCCACUGAAGAGAACACUAGAGAAAAGAGACAACUCUCAAUAGGACAUAUCACUUAAAGUCUUAGGAGUGUGCCAUUAAGAACAUCAUUCGCUUUUUCAGAGAUUGGAUGUUUAAUUCAAGACACGUCCCUCACAGUCGCUGCCUUAGUCAGAAGCCUGCAGGGUCCUAAAGGCAGAAGCUGAAGAUUGACUGGCCAACCGCUUGGACCUUCUGGUCUGCGAAGAUCCUUGUGGCAGCUGCGACACAGCUGAGGGCCUCUAAAAAAGCUGAUUUACUCCAGGGAUUAUUCUUCAGUUAGGGAGUCUGGUGCUAUGUAUUAAGAACCCUUCAAAACACAGUCACCGUUACAUCUAGGAUUUGAUCAACUAACCCUGUGAAAAUACAGAAUCAGCUGUGUUUAUCCCACUUAGCAUAUUCAGUCAAAAAUCUCUGAUCAGUGAAUAUAUAUUAGUCAAUUAAACUUGAUCUAAAAUAAUA